AAAUUUUUGAACAUUUUUUUGUGGAAAAAAAGAAAUGUUAAAAAAAAUGUUUCUUUAAGAACAUUCUGAAAAGAAAUCUACCAAAAUCCAGUGAAUUUCACUGGAUUUUGGUUGAUUUUUAUGUGAAUGUUCCAAAGAAAAUAUUAGAAGUUUUACUGAUAUAUAUGGAAUCACUUUAGAUAUUUUUAGGAUUUUUUUGGAAGAUUUUUACUCAUUUUUUGAAAACAUUUACAAUAGUUUUUUUUUUUUUUUUUUUUAAAUUUCGUACCAAAUUUGGGGUUUAAGAAAAAACUUUUAAGGGAAAUGUUUAAGGAUUUUUUGGAAUUUUCUUCCUGAUGAUUUAGCAAUUUUUUAUAAAUUUGGGGAAUUUUUUUUUGCUAAAUUUUUGGAUUUUUUUCAGAGAAAGGAACAAUAUUUUUUGGUGCCCGUAAAUGAAGACAUCAGGAGAGUUAAGAUCAGAAACUAACUCAUAGAGACUCACUCUGCCUUCUGACAGCAUCAAUCAUUAUUUUACACACAUUUUAAAUCACUCUAGUUCAGUUUAUUUAAAGUCAUUGUUUAAUCAUUCUGACAUGUUUUUAAUCAUUUUAGACACAUUUAGAUCAUUUUUGGACACAUUUAGAUCAUUUUGGACAUUUUAAUCAUUUUUCGACAUUUAAAUCAUUUUGGACAUACUUUAAUCAUUUUUGGAUACAUUUAGAUCAUUUUUGACAUAUUUUAAUCAUUUUUGGACACAUUUAGAUCAUUUUUGACAUAUUUUAAUCAUUUUUGGACACAUUUAGAUCAUUCUGGACAAAUGACACAAGAAGAAGCACAAGAAUAUCCUGAACUGACAAACAUGAAGAACUGAGCUCAUGUGAGGCUGCAGGAUCACACAUGUAUGUAUUCUAUACACACAUGUGGUCAUCAUGUGUGUAAACAUGCAGGAAACGGUGGAUUAACGUCGGACGCAGCUGCAGCAGGAAAGGUGAAUGCGGAGUUUCUCAGUGAGACGGAGGACAGGAGCUGUUCCCACACAGACAGGAAGUCCAACUGGAGGACCAGAACGAGUAAAGUGCUGAGCUCAUGUGAGCUCAUUUAGAAGGAAAUACAUCUUCAGCAGCAGGUCAGUGCUGGAGGCUGCAGGAGGAGCUGCUCUACUCUCCUUCAUAUCCAGGUUAAAAACAUCUGAGGCUCCAACAGGAGAAGGAAGAAGAUUAAAGAAAGUUCUGAUCCACUGAUCUGGUCUCAGUGUUUCUACAACAUCUGGUUUCUGCUCACAUGGUGGAUGUUUGGAACUUUUACUGAGAUUAGUGAGAGGUUUAGAGGAAAAAUCUGCUCACAACUCAGAGAAUAAAACACUGGAACGCCUUCAGAGGAGUCAUAGGAGUCUUGGUGGCCUCCCUCUCUAGUCUCUUUCUCCUUCAGAGGAGUCAUAGGAGUCUUGGUGGCCUCCCUCUCUAGUCUCUUUCUCCUUCAGAGGAGUCAUAGGAGUCUUCGUGGCCUCCCUCUCUAAUCUCUCAGGUCUUGAGAAUGUCCUGCUCUAGUCAGAUUUAUUCAUGUUCUAUCUUCCUUCCAUUUCUUAAUGAUGGAUUUAACUGGACUCCAGGAGGUCUUCAGGAACUUUAAAUGUUCUUGUAUCGUCCUCACUGAUGCUUUUCAACAACUUUUUGUGAGAGUUUCUUGGUUC
Amphiprion ocellaris (clown anemonefish) is the source of this 1669-nucleotide long non-coding RNA. The record is from Ensembl. Lineage: Eukaryota; Metazoa; Chordata; Actinopteri; Pomacentridae.